CGCUAGCGGGAGGCCUAACACAUGCAAGUCGAACGGGAUUGAGAGCUUGCUCUCAUGAGAGUGGCGCACGGGUGAGUAACGCGUAUGCAACCUACCUAUAACUGAGGGAUAGCCCAUAGAAAUGUGGAUUAAUACCUCAUAGUUCUUUUGAACCGCAUGGUUUAAAAGAUAAAGCUCCGACGGUUAUAGAUGGGCAUGCGUGACAUUAGCUAGUUGGUAAGGUAACGGCUUACCAAGGCUACGAUGUCUAGGGGUUCUGAGAGGAUGAUCCCCCACACUGGUACUGAGACACGGACCAGACUCCUACGGGAGGCAGCAGUGAGGAAUAUUGGUCAAUGGGCGCAAGCCUGAACCAGCCAUCCCGCGUGCAGGAUGAAGGCCCUAUGGGAAAGGGAACUGCUUUUAUACACCAAGAAAAACACCCA
Molecule: ribosomal RNA, 425 nt
Filed under: uncultured bacterium
Lineage: Bacteria
Description: bacterial SSU rRNA
Rfam family: Bacterial small subunit ribosomal RNA
Source: RNAcentral